This 254-nucleotide ribosomal RNA is filed under the name uncultured bacterium. RNAcentral's name for it is "partial 16S ribosomal RNA". It matches the Rfam family "Bacterial small subunit ribosomal RNA", at positions 524 to 776 of the family's 1533-position model. The record is from RNAcentral.
UACGGGGGGGGCAAGCGUUGUUCGGAAUUACUGGGCGUAAAGGGCUCGUAGGCGGCCAACUAAGUCAGACGUGAAAUCCCUCGGCUUAACCGGGGAACUGCGUCUGAUACUGGAUGGCUUGAGAUUGGGAGAGGGAUGCGGAAUUCCCGGUGUAGCGGUGAAAUGCGCAGAUAUCGGGAGGAACACCUGAGGUGAAGACGGGUUGCUGGGCUGACACUGACGCUGACAGCGCGAAAGCUAGGGGAGCAAACGGG